RNAcentral lists this ribosomal RNA (253 nucleotides) under uncultured bacterium. RNAcentral describes it as "partial 16S ribosomal RNA". It matches the Rfam family "Bacterial small subunit ribosomal RNA", at positions 524 to 776 of the family's 1533-position model. The record is from RNAcentral.
UACGGAGGAGGCAAGCGUUAUCCGGAAUUAUUGGGCGUAAAGCGUCCGUAGGUGGUUGACCAAGUCUGCUGUCAAAGGGUGGGGCUUAACCUCAUAAAGGCAGUGGAAACUGGUGAGCUAGAGUGCGGUAGGGGUAAGGGGAAUUCCCAGUGUAGCGGUGAAAUGCGUAGAGAUUGGGAAGAACAUCGGUGGCGAAAGCGCCUUGCUGGGCCUGCACUGACACUGAGGGACGAAAGCUAGGGGAGCGAAAGGG